This 449-nucleotide ribosomal RNA is filed under the name uncultured prokaryote. Its description in RNAcentral is "bacterial SSU rRNA". It matches the Rfam family "Bacterial small subunit ribosomal RNA", at positions 355 to 796 of the family's 1533-position model. The record is from RNAcentral.
UAGGGAAUCUUGGGCAAUGGGCGCAAGCCUGACCCAGCCAUGCCGCGUGUGUGAAGAAGGCUUUCGGGUUGUAAAGCACUUUCAGUGGUGAAGAUAAACCGCAGAUCAAUACCCUGCGGGCUAGACGUUAACCACAGAAGAAGCACCGGCUAACUCCGUGCCAGCAGCCGCGGUAAUACGGAGGGUGCGAACGUUAAUCGGAAUUACUGGGCGUAAAGCGCGCGUAGGCGGUUUGUUAAGUGGGAUGUGAAAGCCCCGGGCUUAACCUGGGAAUUGCAUUCCAAACUGACAGACUAGAGUGUGGUAGAGGGAGGUAGAAUUUCCUGUGUAGCGGUGAAAUGCGUAGAUAUAGGAAGGAAUACCAGUGGCGAAGGCGGCCUCCUGGAUCAACACUGACGCUGAGGCGCGAAAGCGUGGGGAGCAAACAGGAUUAGAUACCCCCGUAGUCC